CUACGGAGGGUGCAGGCGUUAUUCGGAAUCACUGGGCGUAAAGGACGCGUAGGCGGGUUGGCAAGUCAGAUGUGAAAUCCUACAGCUUAACUGUAGAACUGCAUUUGAAACCGCUAACCUAGAGUAUGGGAGGGGGAGAUGGAAUUAGUGGUGUAGGGGUAAAAUCCGUAGAUAUCACUAGGAAUACCGAAAGCGAAGGCGAUCUCCUGGAACAUAACUGACGCUAAGGCGUGAAAGCGUGGGGAGCAAACAGGAUUAGAAACCCUAGUAGUCC
This 274-nucleotide ribosomal RNA is filed under the name uncultured bacterium. RNAcentral's name for it is "partial 16S ribosomal RNA". It matches the Rfam family "Bacterial small subunit ribosomal RNA", at positions 523 to 796 of the family's 1533-position model. The record is from RNAcentral.